CCUGCUGCCGCCCGACGCGCCCGCACACCGCCGGCGCGGCUCGGCGGGGCACGGGCGGCGCGAGUGAAGCUCUUUUUGAUUCACAUCCGGUUGUAUCAUGACUACACUAAAGACAAACCGUUCUACUGCAUGAAUAACUUUGGAGUGGAUUAUCUCUUGCAGUUCAUGUAAUGAACGACUGCACACACCAUUCAAAUGGGCAAAUAGUUGGUGUAUCAGAGACUUGUUUAAAAAGUUAAGAUUUGAUUUUGUGUAACUGAAAUACACCUGGAGAUUAUUUGUCUCAUAUGUGUGUAAAUAUGAAGAGAGCAGUUCCUAGUGUUUACCUUCCUACAGCUCUUCCACUUCAUGGCCUCAGGGGCAAAGACUGCUUUCCUAGUCUGCCUGGUAUGUGGCGUUAGAUACAGCCUUGCUCUUGCUAACAUAUGCUGCUUCAAGCAAGAAAAAUCUUUUGUGUACACGAGGGGGACUUGAGGACUGGGUCCUCAAGAAGGUGGCUUAGUGUAAGUAGUAUAUUGAAAAUAUAAUUCCCCUUGCAGAUGUACAAUACAACAUACUGCCUUCAGUGCUCACUACUGCAUGGUCUGCUGUGCUUUGAGCUGAACAGGACCAUAAAGGUCCUGUUGUCAUUACAGAAAUCUUUUAUAAGCAAUUUCCUGAUAUGCAAUUCACAAGAAGACUCUAGUAAUGGAGAAAUAAAAAGCUGGAUCUGGGUAGCUGACAGCCUUCCUUGCUUGUCUGUAGAAGAUAUGGGUUUACUGGAGGGAGAAAAAUUAUUCUUUGUGCUCUGCAUUAUGGCUGCUCCAUGAUCAUCUGUACCUGGCUUUGUCGUGGGGGUCCAACUUUCUAUCUGAGAUGUAACUAGCUCUUUGCACACCUCAGGGUUUGGACUCCAAAGCAGAACUUGGUAUCAAGUAAUUUUUACAAUUUCAGCUAUAUUAAAGUACUUGAGUAAGUUAGUGUAUGAAUCUCACAAUCCACAGGUUUUGGUGGCAUCUCCAUAAAGAGAUCUCAGACAGAAAAUUUUUCUCCAUCCUUAGCAACAUCCUUAGAGGAACUCUGUUCAAGUGAGGGGCAGGAAUCUGGAUGCUAUGAGAUGGUCUGCAAGAUGGGUGCCAUCUGCAUUGAGGUUUCAUGCUUUUGCAGCAGCAUUAGUCUUUCAAAGGCUUUCUUCAUGUGGGAAUGGGAAGAUACCUGCAGUGUGUAUAAUGAAUAGAGAGUCAUUUGUUCAUACAAGGAUACAAGCCAGAAUAUAUCCAUACAGAAGAAUAGAAUAAAAUUAUGGGUAUCUGUCUGUUAAAAAUAUGCUCAUAGGAGAAUAACAGCCCUGCUGUGCUAGUGAUAAUGUAAGAGCAAAACAUGUACAUGGUCUAAGGUUUAGGAAGGGUGCUGAAUUUUGUAAGGAAUGUGAGCUGCCUCUUGUAAUUGUAACUGCUUUAUUCAUUUUGUUGGGGAAAAUGCUUUAACAUUUUUUUUGUUUCCAUUAGUGACCUACAGUCUUUGUUUUUUUUGCAAUACAUGUUUUGAGUUUAACUUCUUUGGCUCUGGGGAAGUCAGGAGGCUGCAGACAGCAGGUAGAUAAGAAAGUGCACAACCUCAGUACAGAGAGGAAGUGUGUAGGAAAACCUGGCAUUGCCACCUCAGUUAAGCAAGUUCCCACAGUCAAGUGGUAUAUGAUAUUGAAUAUAAUGCAUAAUUGUUUUAGUACUGCUAAUUGUUUUUAGCAAAAUCUCCAAGUCUCCACCCUAUUUUCUGGCUGUAACUGGUGAAUAUUCUUGAAUAUGAGAUGUUGCCUUGGAAAAGCUGGAAAGUACUGUCAAGAAGCUAAGCGAACCACUUAUGCAUUGCCUUCACCUUAAAAUACAAUGCAACAAGAAAAGGCAUCAUAUUACCUUUCCUUUUGGGAAUUGUGGCAGAUAUUGGAUCCCUGAGAUUUUACAAUAUCAAUUCACUGGUUAAUGCACUUGGAUUUACAAAAAAAAUGGAUAAGUGGUCCCAUCCUUUGGUCUGCAUCCUUUGGGAUAAUUAAUUUACUCUGUUGGUUAUAGAGUGUAAAGUCAACUUACAAGAAAAAAUAAAGAACAAAAAGGAUCUUCUGGAGUACGCGUAACAUGAAUUCACUGUGUUUUGUUCCUUUCUCUUAUUGCCUUAAAGACCAUAUAGCCGCAACUUCUAAAUGAAUUCCUGAAGCACUGGGAUUACUAAUUCAGCCUCAGUUCUUAAAUCAGCAGGACUUUUGCAUUCGACACCUUUGGAGAAGGACAUGAUGUGAGGAUGUGCCUACAACAUUCAGCCUAAUCUUUUAAGGAAAAGGAAAGCCUAAUGGGUAGAAAAAACAGCAACUAUGUAUUAUGGGACAACACCCUGUGUUAGGAUCAGUUGCAGAAAUAUUUUCUUCAUUGCCUGCUGGUGUUAAAGGCAUUAACUGCUUUUGAAAUUGCAUGCCUGAACUUACAGUAAAUGAAGGAGCUGUGUUCAUGGCUGUAUUUUGGACAUGCAGAGCCAAGAUCUGUAUUACUGACUUCAGAUGAGUUGUACAGAGGAUAAGAGAAAGCAAAUGUAUCCUUUGGGAAUAUUAUAAAAUAGGUAUGUUCAU
This is a non-coding RNA of Lonchura striata (white-rumped munia), 2596 nucleotides long. The record is from RefSeq and is a predicted model, not a curated record. Lineage: Eukaryota; Metazoa; Chordata; Aves; Passeriformes; Estrildidae.